AUUGAACGCUGGCGGCAGGCCUAACACAUGCCAGUCGAGCGGAUGAAGGGAGCUUGCUCCUGGAUUCAGCGGCGGACGGGUGAGUAAUGCCUAGGAAUCUGCCUGGUAGUGGGGGAUAACGUCCGGAAACGGGCGCUAAUACCGCAUACGUCCUGAGGGAGAAAGUGGGGGAUCUUCGGACCUCACGCUAUCAGAUGAGCCUAGGGCGGAUUAGCUAGUUGGUGGGGUAAAGGCCUACCAAGGCGACGAUCCGUAACUGGUCUGAGGGGAUGAUCAGGCACACUGGAACUGAGACACGGUCCAGACUCCUACGGGAGGCAGCAGUGGGGAAUAUUGGACAAUGGGCGAAAGCCUGAUCCAGCCAUGCCGCGUGUGUGAAGAAGGUCUUCGGAUUGUAAAGCACUUUAAGUUGGGAGGAAGGGCAGUAAGUUAAUACCUUGCUGUUUUGACGUUACCAACAGAAUAAGCACCGGCUAACUUCGUG
Molecule: ribosomal RNA, 484 nt
Filed under: uncultured bacterium
Lineage: Bacteria
Description: partial 16S ribosomal RNA
Rfam family: Bacterial small subunit ribosomal RNA
Source: RNAcentral